RNAcentral lists this ribosomal RNA (497 nucleotides) under uncultured bacterium. Its description in RNAcentral is "partial 16S ribosomal RNA". It matches the Rfam family "Bacterial small subunit ribosomal RNA", at positions 28 to 507 of the family's 1533-position model. The record is from RNAcentral.
GACGAACGCUGGCGGCGUGCCUAAUACAUGCAAGUCGAACGAAAAGACCAGGAGCUUGCUCCUCCGACGUCAUCACCCGACGGGAGCUUACCACGUGGACAACCUACCUAUACGACUGGGAUACUUAUACGAAACCGGAGCUAAUACCGGAUAACAUAUUGAACCGCAUGGUUCACCAGUGGAAGACGCUCUUGCUGACACUAAAAGCUGACUCCGCGCCGCAUUAGCUAGUUGGUAAGGUAACGGCUUACCAAGGCAACGAUGCGUAGCCGACCUGAGAGGGUGGUCGGCCACACUGGAACUGAGACACGGUCCAGACUCCGACGGGAGGCAGCAGUAGGGAAUCCUCCGCAAGGGGCGAAAGCCUGACGGAGCAAAGCCGCGUGAGUGAAGAAGGUCUUCGGAUCGUAGAACUCUGUUAUUAGUGAAGAACAAAUGUGUAAGUAACUAUGCACGUCUUGACGGUACCUAAUCAGAAAGCCACGGCUAACUACGUG